This 619-nucleotide ribosomal RNA is filed under the name Salmonella enterica subsp. enterica. RNAcentral describes it as "bacterial LSU rRNA". It matches the Rfam family "Bacterial large subunit ribosomal RNA", at positions 591 to 1211 of the family's 2925-position model. Lineage: Bacteria; Pseudomonadati; Pseudomonadota; Gammaproteobacteria; Enterobacterales; Enterobacteriaceae. The record is from RNAcentral.
GUGUGACUGCGUACCUUUUGUAUAAUGGGUCAGCGACUUAUAUUCUGUAGCAAGGUUAACCGAAUAGGGGAGCCGGAGGGAAACCGAGUCUUAACCGGGCGUUAAGUUGCAGGGUAUAGACCCGAAACCCGGUGAUCUAGCCAUGGGCAGGUUGAAGGUUGGGUAACACUAACUGGAGGACCGAACCGACUAAUGUUGAAAAAUUAGCGGAUGACCUGUGGCUGGGGGUGAAAGGCCAAUCAAACCGGGAGAUAGCUGGUUCUCCCCGAAAGCUAUUUAGGUAGCGCCUCGUGAAUUCAUCUCCGGGGGUAGAGCACUGUUUCGGCUAGGGGGCCAUCCCGGCUUACCAACCCGAUGCAAACUGCGAAUACCGGAGAAUGUUAUCACGGGAGACACACGGCGGGUGCUAACGUCCGUCGUGAAGAGGGAAACAACCCAGACCGCCAGCUAAGGUCCCAAAGUCAUGGUUAAGUGGGAAACGAUGUGGGAAGGCCCAGACAGCCAGGAUGUUGGCUUAGAAGCAGCCAUCAUUUAAAGAAAGCGUAAUAGCUCACUGGUCGAGUCGGCCUGCGCGGAAGAUGUAACGGGGCUAAACCAUGCACCGAAGCUGCGGCAGCGA